This 253-nucleotide ribosomal RNA is filed under the name uncultured bacterium. Its description in RNAcentral is "partial 16S ribosomal RNA". It matches the Rfam family "Bacterial small subunit ribosomal RNA", at positions 524 to 776 of the family's 1533-position model. The record is from RNAcentral.
UACGUAGGGGGCAAGCGUUAUCCGGAAUUAUUGGGUGUAAAGGGUGCGUAGACGGAGAAACAAGUUGGUUGUGAAAUCCCUCGGCUCAACCGAGGAACUGCAACCAAAACUAUUUCCCUUGAGUGUCGGAGAGGAAAGUGGAAUUCCUAGUGUAGCGGUGAAAUGCGUAGAUAUUAGGAGGAACACCAGUGGCGAAGGCGACUUUCUGGACGAUAACUGACGUUGAGGCACGAAAGCGUGGGGAGCAAACAGG